CAAAAAGUAAGCACUUUCAGAGCCCAACCCUUCAAGGAGCUGCUGCUGCAGAAGGAGCCCUGUCCCCGGAAGCUCGCUGUCACGAGGGGCCUCUGACAUCUCCUUCUUGAGAGAAAGGUCGCCUGGCCUGGGUGAGGUCGUAGUUCCCGCGACCCCGUGCUUGCAAGUACUGGCUGCCUCCUACUAUAGUGUAAACUCCAGGAAGGAUCCCACAGGGGACCUGACAGCUCACGGUCCUGGCCGACAACCGCCCUGGGAGCGGAAUGGAUGGAGCCCGCAGUCGUCCCGGCGCACUGGGCAAGCUCUGCUCCCACUGUGGCAGGCCAGAUCUCCAUUAGCAACCAGAGCAGCUCUCACCAACGCCUCACUGUCAUUCUGAUGCAUGUAUAAGUUAAACAUUGGAGAAACUGGUGCCUUAAGAGAAUUGGAGAAACUCGUGCCUUAGGAGAAAGGCUAGAAUGUAAAGACAAGUCCAUUAGGAUCCCGCCUGAGCUUUUUCAGCCCCUAGAGUUUAAUUAAAAUAAUGGAGUUGCUCUUGCACACCUUGUACCAGGACCCACUUUAGAUUAUUUCCAAGGCUCUGAAGCAAUUGUCUAGACACCUGACCCUAUUACCGUUAAAGAUUGGCUUGAGUGAAACACUUUGGCUUUCGACUUGUAAAUUAGCACUGAAUGAACUUGUAUUAAUAAUUUUGAGUUGGUCUGGUGAGUUACUCCGACCUUCUCCCUGUAACCUGUUGCAGAAAUAAACUCCGUUCUUUCCC
Molecule: non-coding RNA, 763 nt
Filed under: Pan troglodytes (chimpanzee)
Lineage: Eukaryota; Metazoa; Chordata; Mammalia; Primates; Hominidae
Source: RNAcentral